GUGAACGCUGGCGGCGUGCUUAACACAUGCAAGUCGAACGGUAACAGGAAGUAGCUUGCUACUUUGCUGACGAGUGGCGCACGGGUGAGUAUACCAUAGAUAAUGUACCUCUUAGUUUGGGAUAGCCACUGGAAACGGUGAUUAAUACCAGAUACUCCUUCUCGUUAUAAGACGAGUCGGGAAAGUUUUUUCGCUAAGAGAUCAGUCUAUGUCCUAUCAGCUAGUUGGUGAGGUAAUGGCUCACCAAGGCUAUGACGGGUAUCUGGUUUGAGAGGAUGAUCAGACACACUGGAACUGAGACACGGUCCAGACUCCUACGGGAGGCAGCAGUGAGGAAUAUUGCACAAUGGAGGAAACUCUGAUGCAGCAACGCCGCGUGGAGGAUGACGCAUUUCGGUGUGUAAACUCCUUUUAUAUGUCAAGAAAAUGACGGUAGCAUAUGAAUAAGCACCGGCUAACUCCGU
This 464-nucleotide ribosomal RNA is filed under the name uncultured bacterium. Its description in RNAcentral is "bacterial SSU rRNA". It matches the Rfam family "Bacterial small subunit ribosomal RNA", at positions 29 to 506 of the family's 1533-position model. The record is from RNAcentral.